GGAAGGGGUGUAUUUAUUAGAUAAAAAACCAACGCCCUUCGGGGCUUUUUGGUGAUUCAUGAUAACCUUACGGAUCGCAUGGCCUUGCGCCGGCGACGGUUCAUUCAAAUUUCUGCCCUAUCAACUUUCGAUGGUAAGGUAUUGGCUUACCAUGGUUUCAACGGGUAACGGGGAAUUAGGGUUCGAUUCCGGAGAGGGAGCCUGAGAAACGGCUACCACAUCCAAGGAAGGCAGCAGGCGCGCAAAUUACCCAAUCCCGACACGGGGAGGUAGUGACAAUAAAUACUGAUACAGGGCUCUUUUGGGUCUUGUAAUUGGAAUGAGUACAAUUUAAACCUCUUAACGAGGAACAAUUGGAGGGCAAGUCUGGUGCCAGCAGCCGCGGUAAUUCCAGCUCCAAUAGCGUAUAUUAAAGUUGUUGCAGUUAAAAAGCUCGUAGUUGAACCUUGGGUCUGGCUGGCAGGUCCGCCUCACCGCGUGUACUUGUCCGGCCGGGCCUUCCUUCUGGAGAACCUCAUGCCCUUCACUGGGCGUGUUGGGGACCAGGACUUUUAC
RNAcentral lists this ribosomal RNA (555 nucleotides) under uncultured fungus. Its description in RNAcentral is "SSU rRNA". It matches the Rfam family "Eukaryotic small subunit ribosomal RNA", at positions 194 to 755 of the family's 1831-position model. The record is from RNAcentral. Lineage: Eukaryota; Fungi.